Molecule: ribosomal RNA, 133 nt
Filed under: Hofstenia miamia
Lineage: Eukaryota; Metazoa; Xenacoelomorpha; Acoela; Hofsteniidae
Description: eukaryotic small subunit ribosomal RNA
Rfam family: Eukaryotic small subunit ribosomal RNA
Source: RNAcentral
CCGCCCGUCGCUACAACCGAUUGGGUGUUGAAGUGAGCCAUGCCGAUAAUAUGUAGUUCAGCCUUUCUGGCUAAGCUAUGUAGAAGAAGCAUUGCAAGCUUUGAUACUUAGAGGAUGUAAAAGUCGUAACAAG